CGAGCACGGCGCGGAGGAGGCGGCGAGAGGUGCAGAGGAGGCGCUCUCGCAUGCUAAGGAGAUAGCUGAGGACAAGGUGUUCGACGCUGCGUCCAAAGUGAAGGAGACCGCCGUGGGAGCCAAGGACAAGGUCUCCGAAGCGGCGGGCAAAGCCAAGGAGAGGGCGUCUCACGUCCAGCACGGAGCAGCAGAGACCGUGAGGAAUGCCAAGGACAAGGUCUCUCACGCCGCGAGACAUGCCCGGGAGAGCGCUAGGGAGCGCGCCAUGGACGCCAAGGACAGGGUCUCCGACGUCGCCGAGAGAGCCGAGCAGUGCACGGAGGACGCCGCGGGGCGCGCGGCGCAGAAGGCGGCGCGGGCCGAGGAGGCCGUGAAGGCGAAGGCCGGCGAGGCGGCCAGCAACCUCUCCGACAUCGCGCGGAGGGCGCGCGACGUGGCGUCCGACGCCGCCGCGCACCUCCUCGGCGGCGGGCCCAGGGAGGCGGCGCGCACCGCGACGGCGGUGAUGCACCUGCUGGGGUUCGCCGCGGCGUACGGCGCGUCCCUGUGGGUGACGUUCGUGUCCAGCUACGUCCUCGCCGCGGCGCUGCCCCGGCAGCAGCUCG
This 605-nucleotide long non-coding RNA is filed under the name Oryza sativa (Asian cultivated rice). RNAcentral describes it as "long non-coding RNA (OSAT_LNC000782)". The record is from RNAcentral. Lineage: Eukaryota; Viridiplantae; Streptophyta; Magnoliopsida; Poales; Poaceae.